CCUACGGGAGGCAGCAGUGAGGAAUAUUGGUCAAUGGACGAGAGUCUGAACCAGCCAAGUAGCGUGAAGGAUGACUGCCCUAUGGGUUGUAAACUUCUUUUAUAUGGGAAUAAAAUGUUCCACGUGUGGGAUUUUGUAUGUACCAUAUGAAUAAGGUUCGGCCAACUCCGUGCCAGCAGCCGCGGUAAUACGGAGGAUCCGAGCGUUAUCCGGAUUUAUUGGGUGUAAAGGGAGCGUAGGUGGAUUGUUAAGUCAGUUGUGAAAGUUUGCGGCUCAACCGUAAAAUUGCAGUUGAAACUGGCAGUCUUGAGUACAGUAGAGGUGGGCGGAAUUCGUGGUGUAGCGGUGAAAUGCUUAGAUAUCACGAAGAACUCCGAUUGCGAAGGCAGUUCACUGGACUGCAACUGACACUGAGGCUCGAAAGUGUGGGUAUCAAACAGGAUUAGAUACCCGAGUAGUC
RNAcentral lists this ribosomal RNA (460 nucleotides) under uncultured bacterium. RNAcentral describes it as "partial 16S ribosomal RNA". It matches the Rfam family "Bacterial small subunit ribosomal RNA", at positions 338 to 795 of the family's 1533-position model. The record is from RNAcentral.